Aedes aegypti (yellow fever mosquito) is the source of this 72-nucleotide non-coding RNA. The record is from Rfam. Lineage: Eukaryota; Metazoa; Arthropoda; Insecta; Diptera; Culicidae.
GGCUCGGUAGCUUAGUUGGUAAAGCGCUCGUCUAGCAUACAAGAGUCGUGGAUUCAAAUCCCAGCCGAGCAC